CAUUAAGGAAUAAAAAUAUGAUCACAAUAAAAUUGCCUGAAAAAAAUUGUAAAAAAACUGAAAAAAAAUGCUGAAAAAAUUAGGAAUAGCCAUUGAAAUUAUAGAAAAAAUCCAAAAAAUAGCAGAUUAAAUUCCAAUGAAACUACCGUAGAAAUUUUCAAAAACAAAACAACCAUGCCGAACGAACGCUCAAAGUUAUGGUCAUACUGCGGUCUGGCGAGUACAACCCGAAUAAAACGGUAUCAUACACUAAUUUAACAGUGUAUCAUUUUCUGAUCAUACGUGUUAUCGUAAACUGGAUGAUACAUAGAUGAUACGACAUAUCGUAUUCAUGAUAGCAGUUAUCAUUUUCGGUGUUUCGAUGAUAGACCGAAUGGGUUGUUAAGUAUCGUUACCAUUCAAAAAUGCCAUUUUUCCCGAACAAAAUUUUUGUGGAAUCAUACAUGUUAUGAUCGCUUUAUCAUCAACAUUAUGAUACAGCGAAUAAUAAAAACAAAACGGAAAUAUUUCACCAAAUCUGUUUUGCCGACUGAGAAAAAAGCUAGCACACCCCUGCGGGCAUUUGCCGGGCACUGUCAAAUUUGUCUACGAUUACGUGAAUCAUUGUUUACUUUUGCGGUUUUUUUGUACUUAUUUUGUUGAAUUGGGAAUCGAAGCGUGUGAUUCCCGAGGUUGCUUUCACUGCUUCUCGCGCGGUGUCUACUUCCUACUCUAAAUCGGAUCAGUGCUCGCGAGUGGCUCAAAUGCGUGAAAGUUCUUCACCUGGAGAAGUGGAUAGGUGAGAUUAAAAUAAAAGAAGCUGGGGUAGGAUAAUUACUAAGCGUAAUAAGAAACCUCCCACUAUCAACGACCAAUCUUCUUUUGGUCCCCUCGCAUGCUGUGGCAGCCAAUGAAGGUGAGUUUCCAUGAGAAUUAUCCAGUGAUAUUAGUCAAAGGCUGGUGCACGGCGGUCUCCAAAAGUAGUUUCUUACUACAGUGAUCUAAAAGCUAGAACUCAAAAGUGCUGCUUUCCGACGAUUAUAACGACACAGAAACACAAAUUGACCAUUUAACCCAUUUCAAAAGUGUGGCAGUGAUUGGAUGUUGAAAAAUAACUCGCCAAAACUAUCGUUAUUUGCGGAGCGUGCAAAACCAUAUUAUUAAAAAUUAUUAAUGUACCAUUGGAUGAAUCAUCAUGAAAAGUGGUAUGAUUCUUGAAACAUACUGAAUAAUGCAAAAUUUUCAUCUUUAAUCGUCCAAUCAUUAAACUAUUAUAACUUUUGUUGUAAUUAUUCCACGAACAAAUAUCUUAUAAUAUGAACGAUUCCAUUGAUCGUAUUUUUCUAUGCGGGAAAGUCGUUCGAAACUGAGAGAGAGGAGACAGCUCACUGACAGCCACGAUGUUUACAUGUCUUCUUCUUACUUCUUUUUUCAACUUUGUGCGCCGCACAAUGGUUUGAAAACAUAUAAUUGGUCAAAAAUGAUUUGCAUAUUGAGUUUGUAGCGACAGAGCAUGGAAAAUAAAUGGAUUCGUUGCG
This is a long non-coding RNA of Aedes albopictus (Asian tiger mosquito), 1517 nucleotides long. RefSeq lists it as uncharacterized. The record is from RefSeq and is a predicted model, not a curated record. NCBI's taxonomy places the organism in Eukaryota, Metazoa, Arthropoda, Insecta, Diptera, Culicidae. The transcript is spliced from 2 exons.